Molecule: long non-coding RNA, 1056 nt
Filed under: Equus asinus (donkey)
Lineage: Eukaryota; Metazoa; Chordata; Mammalia; Perissodactyla; Equidae
Description: lncRNA (ENSEASG00005024532.1)
Source: RNAcentral
UCAGCGCCUCCCGCGUGUGUUCAGGACGGUUCUCUGUAAAGCGUGGACCCGCCCCCCGCAACCACAGCGUAGUAUCCAGGGAGAGGUGGGCAGAGCUGGGGCCGGUACCCGGGGACGUGGUGUCUGCCGGAAGUGUCUGUCUGUGCUUUUAGAGGUGGGGACGGCGGGAAGGUAAAAGAGUCUUCCCCGUGCCACUGGACAGUGUGGCCCACUGGGAGGGACUCCUGCCCAAGCACCCCUGUACCCAGGACGGCCUGUGGUCGCAGCCGUCAGCUGUGCCUGCCUGCCUGCCUCUCCCCUGGGGAGGUCCAGGGUCCCGACAGGUCCGGGAAACGCCAGCGGAGUGCCAGCCCUCGGGAGAUCCGGGGCUUCCCAUGGAGCAGCAGUCACCCGUCCCUGCCUGGAUGCCGCCGCUGGAGGGCGCCGCCGUCCACAGCCCGGGGGAAAAGGCGUCAGGCUUGCACGGAUAACAAUCCGGACAGAGGAGGUUGCGGCCCUGGUGGCGGUCCCAGGGAGUUGUGCAGCCCCGGGCACACGGGCAGGAAGCUCUUUCUCAUCACGGCAGCCAGCCCAUUCAGCGCCAGUGCCGUGUAGCCCCGUGCUGGGCUCUGGUGGCUCAGGUGGUGGCAGGCGCCAGCCUGGAGGGGGCAGCCGAGUGUCCAGUUGUUCCCGGGAAGGAGCUCCUGCUGUGGCCAAAGGAGGCCCUUUGUGUCUCGCGUCCCUGGAUACGUGCCCGCCCCAUCCUUCCUGACUGGGCCUCAGAGAUGACGUCCCGUAUGGACAGCUAAUUUUCGACAAGGCAGCCAAGAGCAUACAAUGGAGAAAGGAAAGUCUCUUCAGUACACGGUGCUGGGAAAACUGGACAGCCACGUGCAAAAGAAUGAGACUAGACCGCUAUCUUACACCAUCCACGAAAAUUAACUCAAAGUGGGUUAAAGACUUGCACGUAAGACCCAAAACCGUAAACCUCCUAGAAGAGUCUCGCUAGCACCUUCCUUCCUCGCUGCCACCUGAGCUGGCGGGGCCCGAGCGCAGGGCGAGCCUGGGGACCCUCGG